This 397-nucleotide ribosomal RNA is filed under the name uncultured bacterium. Its description in RNAcentral is "partial 16S ribosomal RNA". It matches the Rfam family "Bacterial small subunit ribosomal RNA", at positions 523 to 918 of the family's 1533-position model. The record is from RNAcentral.
AUACGUAGGUGGCAAGCGUUGUCCGGAAUUAUUGGGCGUAAAGCGCGCGCAGGUGGUUCCUUAAGUCUGAUGUGAAAGCCCCCGGCUCAACCGGGGAGGGUCAUUGGAAACUGGGGAACUUGAGUGCAGAAGAGGAUAGUGGAAUUCCAAGUGUAGCGGUGAAAUGCGUAGAGAUUUGGAGGAACACCAGUGGCGAAGGCGACUGUCUGUUCUGUAACUGACACUGAGGCGCGAAAGCGUGGGGAGCAAACAGGAUUAGAUACCCUGGUAGUCCACGCCGUAAACGAUGAGUGCUAAGUGUUGGGGGGUUUCCGCCCCUCAGUGCUGCAGCUAACGCAUUAAGCACUCCGCCUGGGGAGUACGGUCGCAAGACUGAAACUCAAAUGAAUUGACGGGG